RNAcentral lists this ribosomal RNA (742 nucleotides) under uncultured cyanobacterium. RNAcentral describes it as "bacterial SSU rRNA". It matches the Rfam family "Bacterial small subunit ribosomal RNA", at positions 8 to 796 of the family's 1533-position model. The record is from RNAcentral. Lineage: Bacteria; Bacillati; Cyanobacteriota.
AGAGUUUGAUCCUGGCUCAGGAUGAACGCUGGCGGUAUGCUUAACACAUGCAAGUCGAACGGACUCUUCGGAGUUAGUGGCGGACGGGUGAGUAACGCGUGAGAAUCUGGCUUCAGGUUCGGGACAACAGUUGGAAACGGCUGCUAAUACCGGAUGUGCCUUAUGGUGAAAGAUUUAUCACCUGAAGAUGAGCUCGCGUCUGAUUAGCUAGUAGGUGUGGUAAGAGCGCACCUAGGCGACGAUCAGUAGCUGGUCUGAGAGGAUGAUCAGCCACACUGGGACUGAGACACGGCCCAGACUCCUACGGGAGGCAGCAGUGGGGAAUUUUCCGCAAUGGGCGAAAGCCUGACGGAGCAAUACCGCGUGAGGGAGGAAGGCUCUUGGGUUGUAAACCUCUUUUCUCAGGGAAGAAUGAUGACGGUACCUGAGGAAUAAGCAUCGGCUAACUCCGUGCCAGCAGCCGCGGUAAUACGGAGGAUGCAAGCGUUAUCCGGAAUGAUUGGGCGUAAAGCGUCCGCAGGUGGCAAUGUAAGUCUGCUGUCAAAGCGUCUGGCUCAACCAGAUAAAGGCAGUGGAAACUACAUAGCUAGAGUAAGGUAGGGGUAGAGGGAAUUCCUGGUGUAGCGGUGAAAUGCGUAGAGAUCAGGAAGAACACCGGUGGCGAAAGCGCUCUGCUGGACCUUAACUGACACUGAGGGACGAAAGCUAGGGGAGCGAAUGGGAUUAGAUACCCCCGUAGUCC